UGACAUUUGGGGCCGUAUCGAUGGUAA
This 27-nucleotide small RNA is filed under the name Bombyx mori (domestic silkworm). RNAcentral's name for it is "ovarian small RNA-8078". Lineage: Eukaryota; Metazoa; Arthropoda; Insecta; Lepidoptera; Bombycidae. The record is from RNAcentral.